GAUGAACGCUGGCGGCGUGCCUAAUACAUGCAAGUCGAGCGAACAGGUGAGGAGCUUUUUCGUCGGACGUUAUCGGCGGCCGGCUGAUUAACACGUGGAUAGUAACCUUCAAACUUCGGCAUAAUAUCGGCAAGCCAGAGUGACUACUGCGAAAUAUUUUGAGCCUGUCGCUUGAUUGGUAAAGGAAGGUUUUUCUUUCCGUUGUGGAUGGGCCCGCGGCGAAUUAGCUAGUUGGUAAGGUAAUGGCCUACCAAGGCAGCGAUGGGUAGCCGACCUGAGAGGGGGGUGGACCACCCUGGUACUGCGGCACGGCCCAGACUCCUACGGGAGGAAGCAGUAGGGAAUAUUCUGCAACAGGGGAAGGACUGACGGAGCAACGACGCGUGAGUGAUGAAGGUCUUCGGCUCGUAAAACUCUGUUAUCAGGAAAGAACAAAUGUGUAAGUGACUAUGCACGGCUUGACGGUACCUAAACAGAAAGCGACGGCUAACUACGUG
RNAcentral lists this ribosomal RNA (497 nucleotides) under uncultured bacterium. RNAcentral's name for it is "partial 16S ribosomal RNA". It matches the Rfam family "Bacterial small subunit ribosomal RNA", at positions 28 to 507 of the family's 1533-position model. The record is from RNAcentral.